AACGGACGGUGGGGCAUGCACUACCAUGCAGUCGAGCAGCACACCACCGGUACUUCGGUCUGUGUGGCGAGUGGCGAACGGGUGAGUAAUACAUCGGAACGUGCCCAAUCGUGGGGGAUAACGUAACGAAAGCUACGCUAAUACCGCAUACGAUCUAAGGAUGAAAGCGGGGGAUCGCAAGACCUCGCGCGAAUGGAGCGGCCGAUGGCAUAUUAGGUAGUUGGUAGGGUAAAGGCCUACCAAGCCGACGAUCUGUAGCUGGUCUGAGAGGAUGAUCAGCCACACUGGGACUGAGACACGGCCCAGACUCCUACGGGAGGCAGCAGUGGGGAAUUUUGGACAAUGGACGCAAGUCUGAUCCAGCCAUUCCGCGUGAAGGAUGAAGGCCCUCGGGUUGUAAACUGCUUUUGUACAGAACGAAGAGGCUCUGGUUAAUACCUGGGGCUCAUGACGGUACUGUAAGAAUAAGCACCGGCUAACUACGUGCCAGCAGCCGCGGUAAUACGUAGGGUGCAAGCGUUAAUCGGAAUUACUGGGCGUAAAGCGUGCGCAGGCGAUGAUGUAAGACAGAGGUGAAAUCCCCGGGCUCAACCUGGGAACUGCCUUUGUGACUGCAUCGCUGGAGUACGGCAGAGGGGGAUGGAAUUCCGCGUGUAACAGUGAAAUGCGUAGAUGUGCGGAGGAACACCGAUGGAGAAUGCCAUCCCCUGGGCCUGUACUGACGCUCAUGCACGAAAACGUGCGGAGCAAACAGGAUUAGAUACCCUGGGAGUCCACGCCCUAAACGAUGUCAACUGGGUGUUGGGGCUUCACUGACUCAGUAACGACCCUAACGCGUGGAAGUUGACCGCCCUGGGGAGUACGGCCGCAAGGUUGAAACUCACAGGAAUUGACGGGGAACCCGCACAAUCGGUGGGAUGAUGUGGGUUUAAUUCGAUGCAACGCGUAAAAACCUUACCCACCUUUUGACAUGUACGGGAAGUUGCCUAGAGAAUGGCUUCCUUGCUCGAAAGAAAAGCCGUAACACAGGGGGCUGCAUGGAAUGUCGUCAACUCCUUGUCCUGAAAAUAAUUGGGUUUAAUUCCCCCCAACGAACCGCC
Molecule: ribosomal RNA, 1100 nt
Filed under: Rhodococcus sp. (in: high G+C Gram-positive bacteria)
Lineage: Bacteria; Bacillati; Actinomycetota; Actinomycetes; Mycobacteriales; Nocardiaceae
Description: bacterial SSU rRNA
Rfam family: Bacterial small subunit ribosomal RNA
Source: RNAcentral